This 465-nucleotide ribosomal RNA is filed under the name uncultured bacterium. Its description in RNAcentral is "partial 16S ribosomal RNA". It matches the Rfam family "Bacterial small subunit ribosomal RNA", at positions 28 to 507 of the family's 1533-position model. The record is from RNAcentral.
GACGAACGCUGGCGGCGUGCUUAACACAUGCAAGUCGAACGGAAAGGCCCUGCUUGCAGGGUCCUCGAGUGGCGAACGGGUGAGUAACACGUGGGUGAUCUGCCCUGCACUUCGGGAUAAGCCUGGGAAACUGGGUCUAAUACCGGAUAGGAGCCAUUUUUAGUGUGAUGGUUGGAAAGUUUUUUCGGUGUAGGAUGAGCUCGCGGCCUAUCAGCUUGUUGGUGGGGUAAUGGCCUACCAAGGCGGCGACGGGUAGCCGGCCUGAGAGGGUGGACGGCCACAUUGGGACUGAGAUACGGCCCAGACGCCGACGGGAGGCAGAAGGGGGGAAUAUUGCACAAUGGGCGCAAGCCUGAUGCAGCGACGCCGCGGGGGGGAGGACGGCCUUCGGGUUGUAAAAUCCUUUCGCUAGGGACGAAGCUUUUUGUGACGGUACCUAGAGAAGAAGCACCGGCUAACUACGUG